CCUACGGGUGACAGCAGUGAGGAAUAUUGGUCAAUGGGCGAGAGCCUGAACCAGCCAAGUCGCGUGAGGGAGUACUGCCCUAUGGGUUGUAAACCUCUUUUGUCGGGGAGCAAAAGCCGGACGUGUCCGGCUGUGAGAGUACCCGAAGAAAAAGCAUCGGCUAACUCCGUGCCAGCAGCCGCGGUAAUACGGAGGAUGCGAGCGUUAUCCGGAUUUAUUGGGUUUAACGGGUGCGCAGGCGGAUUUUUAAGUCAGCGGUAAAAUCGUGGGGCUCAACCCCAUCCAGCCGUUGAAACUGGGGAUCUAGAGUGUGCGAGAGGUAUGCGGAAUGCGUGGUGUAGCGGUGAAAUGCAUAGAUAUCACGCAGAACCCCGAUUGCGAAGGCAGCAUACCGGUGCACAACUGACGCUCAGGCACGAAAGCGUGGGUAUCGAACAGGAUUAGAUACCCUAGUAGUC
This 458-nucleotide ribosomal RNA is filed under the name uncultured bacterium. RNAcentral's name for it is "partial 16S ribosomal RNA". It matches the Rfam family "Bacterial small subunit ribosomal RNA", at positions 338 to 795 of the family's 1533-position model. The record is from RNAcentral.